CGCGUAGGCGGACCUUCAAGUCGGGUGUGAAAACUGGCGGCUUAACUGCCAGCCUGCACUCGAUACUGUUGGUCUUGAGUACAGUAGAGGAAAGCGGAAUUCCAGGUGUAGCGGUGAAAUGCGUAGAUAUCUGGAAGAACACCGGUAGCGAAGGCGACUUUCUGGGCUGAUACUGACGCUGAAGCGCGAAGGCUAGGGUAGCAAACA
Molecule: ribosomal RNA, 207 nt
Filed under: uncultured bacterium
Lineage: Bacteria
Description: partial 16S ribosomal RNA
Rfam family: Bacterial small subunit ribosomal RNA
Source: RNAcentral